Molecule: ribosomal RNA, 572 nt
Filed under: Klebsiella aerogenes
Lineage: Bacteria; Pseudomonadati; Pseudomonadota; Gammaproteobacteria; Enterobacterales; Enterobacteriaceae
Description: partial 23S ribosomal RNA
Rfam family: Bacterial large subunit ribosomal RNA
Source: RNAcentral
GUUUGACUGGGGCGGUCUCCUCCCAAAGAGUAACGGAGGAGCACGAAGGUUAGCUAAUCCUGGUCGGACAUCAGGAGGUUAGUGCAAUGGCAUAAGCUAGCUUGACUGCGAGCGUGACGGCGCGAGCAGGUGCGAAAGCAGGUCAUAGUGAUCCGGUGGUUCUGAAUGGAAGGGCCAUCGCUCAACGGAUAAAAGGUACUCCGGGGAUAACAGGCUGAUACCGCCCAAGAGUUCAUAUCGACGGCGGUGUUUGGCACCUCGAUGUCGGCUCAUCACAUCCUGGGGCUGAAGUAGGUCCCAAGGGUAUGGCUGUUCGCCAUUUAAAGUGGUACGCGAGCUGGGUUUAGAACGUCGUGAGACAGUUCGGUCCCUAUCUGCCGUGGGCGCUGGAGAAUUGAGGGGGGCUGCUCCUAGUACGAGAGGACCGGAGUGGACGCAUCACUGGUGUUCGGGUUGUCAUGCCAAUGGCAUUGCCCGGUAGCUAAAUGCGGAAGAGAUAAGUGCUGAAAGCAUCUAAGCACGAAACUUGCCCCGAGAUGAGUUCUCCCUGAGACUUUAAGUCUCCUGAAGGA